RNAcentral lists this ribosomal RNA (226 nucleotides) under uncultured bacterium. RNAcentral's name for it is "partial 16S ribosomal RNA". It matches the Rfam family "Bacterial small subunit ribosomal RNA", at positions 538 to 763 of the family's 1533-position model. The record is from RNAcentral.
GCGUUGUCCGGAAUCAUUGGGCGUAAAGGGCGCGUAGGUGGCGCGACCAGCGUGCGGUGAAAGCUCGGGGCUCAACCCCGAGUCGGCCGUGCGAACUGUCGUGCUGGAGCACUGUAGAGGCAGGCGGAAUUCCGGGUGUAGCGGUGGAAUGCGUAGAGAUCCGGAAGAACACCGGUGGCGAAGGCGGCCUGCUGGGCAGUUGCUGACACUGAGGCGCGACAGCGUG